GGGACCUAGAACGGGCCUAGCUCAGAGCAGGUGCUCACUAUUGAUGGAAUGCAUGUUGAAAGAAUGCAUGAAUCUCAUCUCCUUUUGUGGGUGAAAAUCUCAUCCUAUUCUCACUCCUGAUUAACUUUCUUUCUUUUUUUUUUUUCAAAACGGAGCCCUGAUCUGUCACCCAGGCUGGAGUGCAAUGGUGCCAUCUCAGCUCGCUGCAACCUCUGCCUUCUGGAUUAAAGCAAUUCUCCUGCCUCAGCCUCCCGGGUAGCUGGGAUUACAGGUGCACACCACCACGCCCGGCUAAUUUUUUGUAUUUUUAAUAGAGACAGGGUUUUGCCAUGUUGGCCAGGCUGGUCUCAAACCCCUGACCCUGUGAUCUGCCCGAUUUGGCCUCCCAAAGUCCUGGGAUUACAAACAUGAGCCACCGUACCCAGCCACUCUUGAUUAACUUAAUGGAAAUAUUUAGAGAUUCUUUCUUUUCUGGGUUCUAGAGUCUUCUCUGUAACCUCUGCAGGGGAGUCCUUGAGCAGAAGGAAGCAAGUUGCCUGAGAUUCUUCAAAGCCCGCAGCCCUUUUGGAGGUAGAAGUUGCUGGUCCCAUCUUGCUCACAAUCCUCCAAAGUUUGAAAGUUAUUUUCCAGGAGACUUGGCUUGCACUGAGAGCUGCCCUCCCACCCUCUCUCCAAAUUUCCUCUUGGGGGUAGCCUAACAAGGUGCUGUCACAGACCCUUGUCGGCCACGAUGACCCCACCCAGACCAUCCCUCUGCUGUUUCACUCUUUGAUAGUCUCUGGAGCUCUCUGGGGAGGGGU
Molecule: long non-coding RNA, 800 nt
Filed under: Homo sapiens (human)
Lineage: Eukaryota; Metazoa; Chordata; Mammalia; Primates; Hominidae
Description: long intergenic non-protein coding RNA 2614
Source: RNAcentral